CCAGCGUGGGUUAUAAAAAUAAACCAUAGACCAUAUGACCCUUUUGUGGUUGGUUUCAUCCAUAGUUCUAAUCAAAGCUUCACAGAAAUCAUAGCAAAUGAUGUCCCCUAGAUUCUAUUUUAAAUGCUCACUUUUAGUACCAAAUUCAUGACUCUAAAAAAAAACUUCUUAAGGCUAUCCCACUGCAGACAAUCAUGUUAGAAGAUCAAGUAGAAGUUUCUCAAAA
This 226-nucleotide long non-coding RNA is filed under the name Spirodela polyrhiza (greater duckweed). RNAcentral's name for it is "long non-coding RNA (SPOL_LNC000083)". Lineage: Eukaryota; Viridiplantae; Streptophyta; Magnoliopsida; Alismatales; Araceae. The record is from RNAcentral.